GGGCUUCCUUAGGCAGCACAUAUACUAAAAUUGGAAUGACACAAAGAUUAGCAUGGUCCCUGAGCAAGAAUGACAUGCAAAUUUGUGAAGUGUUCCAUAUAGAA
Molecule: small nuclear RNA, 104 nt
Organism: Pongo abelii (Sumatran orangutan)
Lineage: Eukaryota; Metazoa; Chordata; Mammalia; Primates; Hominidae
Source: Ensembl